CUUGCUUUCUGGGAAAGUGGCGCACGGGUGCGUAACGCGUAUGCAACCUACCUUAAUCAGGGGGAUAGCCUCCGAAAGAGAGAUUAACACCGCAUAAAAUCACACUUCGGCAUCGAAGAAUGAUCAAAUAUUUAUAGGAUUAAGAUGGGCAUGCGUGACAUUAGUUUGUUGGUGAGGUAACGGCUCACCAAGACUACGAUGUCGUAGGGGAUCUGAGAGGAUCGACCCCCACACUGGUACUGAGACACGGACCAGACUCC
RNAcentral lists this ribosomal RNA (260 nucleotides) under unidentified marine bacterioplankton. RNAcentral's name for it is "partial 16S ribosomal RNA". It matches the Rfam family "Bacterial small subunit ribosomal RNA", at positions 79 to 339 of the family's 1533-position model. The record is from RNAcentral.